Molecule: transfer RNA, 88 nt
Filed under: Armatimonadota bacterium
Lineage: Bacteria; Bacillati; Armatimonadota
Description: Armatimonadetes bacterium (rhizosphere metagenome) tRNA-Ser
Rfam family: tRNA
About the family: Transfer RNA (tRNA) molecules are approximately 80 nucleotides in length. Their secondary structure includes four short double-helical elements and three loops (D, anti-codon, and T loops).
Source: RNAcentral
GGAGAGGUCGCAUAGUUGGUCUAGUGCGCUCGUCUCGAAAACGAGAGUGGCGGUGACGUCACCGUGGGUUCGAAUCCCACCCUCUCCG